Bufo bufo (common toad) is the source of this 162-nucleotide long non-coding RNA. RefSeq lists it as uncharacterized. The transcript is spliced from 4 exons. The record is from RefSeq and is a predicted model, not a curated record. Lineage: Eukaryota; Metazoa; Chordata; Amphibia; Anura; Bufonidae.
UCCCAUGUUCAUAUGUGGCCGCAUUGCUGAGAAAAAUGUUUUAAUAUAUGCAAAUGAGCUUCUAGGAGCAACGGGGGCGUUACCAUUACACCUAGAGGCUGUGCUCUCUCUGCAACGGCCGCCCCUUCUCCACUUUAAUAGGAUCAGACAUGAUGACGGUUU